UACGCGAAGAACCUUACCAAGGGCUUGACAUGCACCUGCAACCACUUGAAAGAGUGGCCUCCGCAAGGACAGGUGCACAGAUGCUGCAUGGCUGUCGUCAGCUCGUGUCGUGAGAUGUUGGGUUAAGUCCCGCAACGAGCGCAACCCUUGUCCUUAGUUGCAAAUCUAGGGAGACCGCCGGAAACAAACCGGGGGAAGGUGGGGAUGACGUCAAGUCAGCAUGGCUCUUACGUCUUGGGCUACACACACGCUACAAUGGUCGGUACAGUGAGACGCCACCCUGUGAGGGGGAGCAGACCUCCAAAGCCGGCCCCAGUUCAGAUUGCACUCUGCAACCCGAGUGCAUGAAGUCGGAGUUGCUAGUAACCGCGUGUCAGCAUAGCGCGGUGAAUAUGUUCCCGGGUCUUGUACACACCG
RNAcentral lists this ribosomal RNA (417 nucleotides) under uncultured bacterium. Its description in RNAcentral is "bacterial SSU rRNA". It matches the Rfam family "Bacterial small subunit ribosomal RNA", at positions 958 to 1392 of the family's 1533-position model. The record is from RNAcentral.